This 498-nucleotide ribosomal RNA is filed under the name uncultured bacterium. RNAcentral describes it as "partial 16S ribosomal RNA". It matches the Rfam family "Bacterial small subunit ribosomal RNA", at positions 30 to 523 of the family's 1533-position model. The record is from RNAcentral.
AUUGAACGCUGGCGGCAUGCCUUACACAUGCAAGUCGAACGGUAACAGGUCUUCGGAUGCUGACGAGUGGCGAACGGGUGAGUAAUACAUCGGAACGUGCCUAGUAGUGGGGGAUAACUACUCGAAAGAGUGGCUAAUACCGCAUGAGCUCUACGGAUGAAAGCAGGGGAUCGCAAGACCUUGUGCUACUAGAGCGGCCGAUGGCAGAUUAGGUAGUUGGUGGGAUAAAAGCUUACCAAGCCGACGAUCUGUAGCUGGUCUGAGAGGACGAUCAGCCACACUGGGACUGAGACACGGCCCAGACUCCUACGGGAGGCAGCAGUGGGGAAUUUUGGACAAUGGGCGCAAGCCUGAUCCAGCAAUGCCGCGUGCAGGAUGAAGGCCUUCGGGUUGUAAACUGCUUUUGUACGGAACGAAAAGCCCUGGGUUAAUACCCUAGGGUCAUGACGGUACCGUAAGAAUAAGCACCGGCUAACUACGUGCCAGCCGCCGCCGUAA